This is a non-coding RNA of Rugosibacter aromaticivorans, 363 nucleotides long. It matches the Rfam family "transfer-messenger RNA". From Rfam's summary of the family: Bacterial tmRNA, also known as 10Sa RNA or SsrA, is named for its dual tRNA and mRNA-like properties. Lineage: Bacteria; Pseudomonadati; Pseudomonadota; Betaproteobacteria; Nitrosomonadales; Sterolibacteriaceae. The record is from Rfam.
GGGGGCGACAUGGCUUCGACGUGGAUCAAGAAACAGAGCAGUGCAUACCGUGGCCCGGAGUACCACGUAAAUACAGCCGGAAACUAGUAAACGCCAACGACGAGCGUUUCGCUCUCGCCGCUUAAACCGGCGAGCGCCGCAGCCACCUGCUCAUAGGUGGUGCCGGGUAAAACCGGCUGCGGUGUCAUUGAUAUGAGCUAAGGGUGUGCCUUGCUGCGCGGCGCUUCACGAAAAAUCAGCAGACCGCGUGUUACCAGCCUGCCCGUUGGCGGGUGAUACGUUAAAUCAAAUAACGAGGCUAAGUAUGUAGGGCUGCCUGUGGAAGGUUUGCGGACGCGGGUUCAAUUCCCGCCGCCUCCACCA